RNAcentral lists this long non-coding RNA (30763 nucleotides) under Fragaria vesca (wild strawberry). Its description in RNAcentral is "long non-coding RNA (FVES_LNC001236)". The record is from RNAcentral. Lineage: Eukaryota; Viridiplantae; Streptophyta; Magnoliopsida; Rosales; Rosaceae.
AGUUUAACCCCUGCAGCUACGCCUUCAUUGCAGAGCAAGGCCGGUUCAAUUUCAGCUCUUCUAGUUUUGAACAACUGAAUGGCAUUGAACGGCUUCCAAUGGUUCUUAAUUGGGCCAUUGUGAAUGACGCAGAUCCCUGCGAUGAGACUCAGAACAGGAAGGGUUCCGCAUGCAAGGCUAAUAGCAAGUGCUUCAACCCAGCUAUCAAUGAGUCUGUAGGUUACUUGUGCCAGUGCUUGCCUGGUUAUGAAGGAAACCCGUACCACCCAGAUGGUUGCACAGGUGACGAUUAUCUUUGAUUUACCUAUUCAGCUACUAUUAUAUCAAUAUAAAUUAAUUAAAGCUCUCGCCAUUGGAAGUGCAAGUUUACCAAAUUUAGUGAUGUCUGAUAGGCUUUUCCUUUCCUAAUUUCCCUUUCAGAUAUUGAUGAGUGCAAAGACCCAAACCUCUGCCAGAAAGGACAAUGCUUGAAUCUUCUACCUCCACAAAAUUACACUUGUUCAUCAUGUCACAAAGGAUACAAACACGACGGCACCAAUGACAAGAGUUGCAUCAAAGACGAUCUCGAAAGAAGCUCAAAGAUCGUUCUCCUGCUUAUUGUUUCAUUGGGUAUGUAUAUUUACAUAUUAUCAUGCAUGUGCACCCUAAACUUCUGUUGAAAAGUAAUGACGGACUGAAAUCUAUUUAGCUUCAGGCCUUCAGCUACGUACUUUAUCUCCAAAUUAUAAUAACCUCGUUUUCUCAUACUUUUUCUUCAAAAAAAAGUAACACAGAGAGAAUGCACAAGUCAUUUCCAUAUUUAAGGGAAGUUUUUUUUCUAUUGUUUGUUAAACGAGAGGGAACAGGUGCGCAAAUUGAAGAUUUUUUUUCUUUUUAUUCAUUUUUGUAGAGAAGGUCUUGCAUCUAGAAUCAAAAUCAAGGAAACUGCUACAAUGAGUUAAGGGGAAGAUCCUAGGGAAUCAGAACUAGAAUAAAAGGACAACAUAAUAGCACAGAAAAAAAAACCACCACCCUGUACCUCUGAAUAAGAUCAUAGAGAAUAUGCAAAAGCAAACUUAUAAGAAUAAAUUUGAUGAUGAAUUUUCAACUAUUUGUAGGUGUAAGUAUGGGCUUGUUGGUUUUUUUCCUUGGGAUUUCGUGGAUAUGUUGGGGAAUGAAGAAAAGAGAGUUCAUUAAGCAGAAGGAAAAGUACUUCAAAGAGAAUGGUGGCUUAUUGUUACUGCAACAACUCGCCAGUGAUAAUGGAAGCUCGAUGAAGACAACAAAAAUCUUUACCGCUGAUGAACUUGAGAGGGCAACAAACAACUACCAUGAGAGUAGAAUCCUUGGAGAAGGAGGUAAUGGAACAGUUUACAAAGGAAUACUACCGGAUGACACAGUGGUUGCCAUAAAGAAGUCGAAAGGUACUAGUGCCAUGACCCAGAGUGAUCAAUUUGUUAACGAAGUGAUUAUCCUUUCUCAAAUUAACCACAUAAAUGUGGUGAAGCUAUUAGGUUGCUGUUUCGAAACAGAAGUUCCUUUACUAGUAUACGAAUUCAUUACCCAUGGCACUCUUUAUGAGCACAUUCAUAAAAGAAGAUCACCUCUCCCUUUUGAAUUACGAAUGAAGAUAGCAACUCAAAGCGCAGAAGCAUUGUCUCACUUACACUCGUCAAUUUCCACACCAAUCAUACAUCGAGAUGUGAAAACGGCAAAUAUUCUGUUAGCUAAUGAUUACACGGCGAAAGUGUCAGAUUUCGGAGCUUCCCGUUUGGUUCAUUCAGGAACUGAUAUGCAAACUUUGGUGCUCGGGACAUUUGGAUACCUAGACCCUGAAUAUCUGCAAUCAAACCAGCUAACAGAAAAGAGUGACGUUUACAGCUUUGGAGUUGUCCUAGUGGAACUAAUAACAAGCAAAGUUCCACUUUCUAAAGAUAGAUGCUUAGCAAGCAUCUUUGUGGUUUCCAUGGAAGAAGAUUGGUUGGAUCAAAUUCUUGACGAUGAUAUAGUGAACGAUGGAAACAUUGAGACGGUAAAGAAAGUGGCCCAUCUCGCAAAGCGAUGCUUGAUGGUAAAAGGGGAGGAAAGGCCUACCAUGAAAGAAGUUGCGAAAGAGCUCGAGGAAAUAAUGAGUGUCACAGCAAAACAUCCGUGGGGAUUUAAUGCUAGUUUCUACCGAGAAGAGACUGAGUACUUGCUCGGGUCACUCAAUUCAGACGGUUACGUCGUUGGUGUUGGGGAUGAUUGCAGUUCUAGUGGUCUAACCAGUGGUACGGCCAAUGCAUAUGACAGCAUGCAAAAACAACUGCAGUUGAUGCCAUAUGGCGGUGGACGUUAGUUGGAUCGGUGUCGCUUGUAUGUAUUUUAGUAUGGUUGUUUCUGUCAGAUAAGUGCGUUUUCACAUUUUGCAAUUGUUGUAUGUAAGUAAUCAAGUGUGGUCUUACAGUCUUACUGGUGUUCUUUUGCUGCUAUUGUGCACACUUAGCAAGCAACUGGAUUUGCCUUAUCUAUGAGGUUAAGGCCUUUGCCUUUCACACGUCUACUAGUUGAGGAGACAUGUAUAUUACAUAAUAUGCAAACUAGGUAGAUAUGUAUUACACUAGUUGAAUUUGCAUGCCGUCACUAGUUUUCGCUUGGAACAUUUCCACCAGUCAUGUCAUAUUCAUAUAUACAAACCACUAAGGAUAGUGGGGUGGAAAACUCUGUCUUGGCUAACCUCCAGGUCUGGAGUUCGAAUCCCCAUGAAAGCAAAGUGGCUAGGCACUAUGCUGCAAUGCAUAGUUGGAGCAUUUCACAUGCGCCGGCGGAUUAGUCCUUAGGCCUACGAAGUCUUUGGGAUACCGUGACUUGAUCAAAAAAAAAAAAAUAUUCAUAUAUACUGCAAAUUUGAAAAUUUCCACCAGACAAAUCGUAUUGCAAAAAGAAAUUGUUUAAUUCCAUUUAGAUUACUUGGCACCUUGACGACUUCAUCUUCAAAAACUUCUAGUCUCCUACCUCAACUUGUCACCGUGGUCAUCAACUGUAACGGAAAACGAACUGUCACAUUGACAUAGCAUAGAAUAUUUAGUUAGUUGCAUAAAAUUAUCAAUGAAAAUGGAAGUUGUGCCCCGUCAGUUAAUUUAGAGUGAUGUGGUGAAAAGAAUUCAAAAGCCAACUCUAGACCAAAAAUAAACUUUUACCACCUGAUCAGUAAACAAAUCACGUAUAGGCAGAAGGGUCCUGGCUUGGCAAAGGAGGCACAUCAAGCUUUCGUUUUCUUGAAACCGAUUGAUCUCAUAACUUGUGCUUGACUUUGAUAUAACAUCUCUUCUAUAUUAACUGCUUGCAUCUAAACUAAAAGAUACCAACUUUUUGGGCUUACCAAGUGGCUUCGGGAAAUAAGAGAGACGACCAAGACAUUUUGAUUCGCUCACAACCUCUUCCAUUUGUCUACAAAAGCGAGCUUGCAAGCACAACUUCACUCAUAAGAAAUACAGUUUAUACAUUUAUACCUCUCAAUUUAAGUACCUGAAUCAAUUGGUGAAAGUAGAUUACCAAGUAUGCAAUUCAUACUGCUGGUGCUACUGGUUCUCCUCGCAUUUGCGGCCGCGGGCAAAGAAGCAGAAACAGCUGAAGCCCGCCCGCCUCAAGCCCUUCCUGGCUGCACUGACCACUGCGGCAAUCUCACCAUUCCAUAUCCCUUUGGCAUAGAGCCUGAUUGUUACAAGACAGAAGACUUUUAUGUCUAUUGUAACACAACCACUACACCCCCAACAGCAAUGUGGAACGAUGGUCCCAUUGCUAUUAACAACAUAUACCUGCCUGCGGGUGAGAUGCAAAUAACGCAGUACGUAGCCUAUGAGUGCUAUAACAGCCUGGGCGAGAAUGAUUACAACCAACCAUUGCUUGCCGUGCCUCCUUUCACCGUCUCUCAUACUAGAAACAAGUUCAUUGCCGUUGGUUGCGACACUUCUGCAGCUUUCAGAGGUUACCGUGCAGACGAACAGAGGUUAAUGACCGGAUGCAUGUCCAUAUGUGACAACCUUGACCGCAUUGAACAGUCUUGCUCCGGGGUUGGGUGUUGCCAAACUGACAUCCCCAGCGGACUUGAGAAUUACACUCUCACACUGGAAAGCUAUUAUAAUCACACAUACAUACUGGACUUCAAUCCAUGCAGCUAUGCCUUCAUUGUGGAAGAAGGCAAGUUCACCUAUUCCCCCGAAUACAAGUUUCCAAACACUACCCAACACCAAAGAGCUUCCCCUGAUUCUUGAUUGGGAAAUUGGGGAAGGCGCAUGUGAUGAAGCUGAACACAGAGAUGAUUAUGCAUGCAAGGCAAAUAGCAAGUGUGUCAAUCGGACCAUCAGUGAUGGGCUAUUCUAUAUAAUAAAACGAUAAGGAAAAAACCACUGUUCAUAUCUAUUCAGAAUUGUGCUAUUCCCCUGAAGUUUCGUGAAUUAUGUUUUGGCCCUAGAUUUGUUACUGAUUGCAAAACUGUCCUCACUGUGUUGCGUGUUAUUGUUGCUGCGUGGCCUCCUAUUUUCAUUCCACGAAGCUCUCUCGCUCUCUCCGAUCUCUCUGUCUCACGCAUGACGGCGGAAACGAAGAAAAAGGCCGACCGAUCCCGAUCAAAUCCGAGCCAGGGUGAAAGAACAUCGAUCUGGGUAAUUGGGUUUCAGUUUCGUUUUUUUUUUUUUUUUCUAAGAUUCUUCCAAUUGAUUUUUGUAUUAUUUCGAUCAAACCCGAGCCAAGGUGAAAAAAAAGGAUCUGGCCAUAUGUGUUUGGUUUUUGUAUGAUUGUUGUUUUGAAUCAAUAGGUAUUUCUUUUAUCUCAGAUUCUUCAAUGCAUGGAUGCUGUUGAUAUUUCCUGUGAUGCCUUCCUUGAGCCUUUCUUCCUCAAAAACAUUUGCACCGCCGACUGCUACGAGAAGUGCUCUAGAUAAAGGAUUUCGGGACGAUUUCGGGUUGAGGUAUUUGAGCUUCUUCCUUCUGCUUCGUUCGGUUUCCAUUUGUGUUUUUCAUUGUUGAUUUCAUAUUCCGCUUGCAGUUCAUGCUUCAUAGAAUUUACUAUGCUUCAUAGAAUGUAACAUCAAAUAUUUGGUGUGGUAUGUACCAAAAUAUGUAUGAAAAAAUGUAACAUCAAAUAUAUAUGCUCUAGCUGUAUGAUGUAUGAUAGAAUGUAACAUCAAAUAUUUUGUGUAGUAUAUACCACAGCUUCUAUGUUCUGUAAUGUGUAUUCUCUCUGUUUUUCAUUCUUAUCAUAUAGACAAUAUUAUCUGUUCGCUAAUCUAACCAACACGUAUCAGCAGCUCACGCCCACAUGUGACAACAUCAACUUCACAUAGCUGUAUAACCACAUGUCGACAUUAGCUCACAACAGCUUCUUUCAAUUAUCACCUAAGAACAUGACAAUACUUUGCCGUGUGAUCUUCCAUUUAUUUACCAUCACCUUCACCCACGUCUAUAUAAACCUGGAGACAAAUGAACCUGCAUAAUGAAGUGCUCUCCAUUUCUCUUCAUAUUUCUCCGAACAUUUUACACUACUAUAAAGAAAAAUAAUCUUUGUAACAUAUGCCUGGAGAUCAAUCAUUUGAACGAUUUUUUUUUCGCUGAUCUGUACUUAACGCAUCCUUGAAAAACUAAUUCUUCAAGUGGUUGUAUUUCCGGGCGACUGUUACCGUGGUAAUGUCUGCAGCCAUACAACCCAUGUAUGUCGAUCCAUGCAACACAAAUUCUACAGGACAAAUCAGGAAAAGCCUUCCUGAACAACCAUAUAAACAUUUCCUUUUUCUUUCUUUUUUCCUUUUUUUUUUGUACGACAAAUCGACAAUAUGAUCUGCAAACCUAGACAUGAAUUAGUUUGAUAGCAGUAAUUUCAACUCAAAUUCAGUUUUUAAUUAAUGGAAUGUUUAAUAUUCUGUUUGCAUUUACAUAUCAGACAACUGUAUUGGGAUGGAUUAAGCUUAGGAUUGAAGAGUUGGUUUAUAACUUCGCAAUAGCUUUAUUUGUUAAUGUCCUGAUAUUGAUGCACAAACAUAUAAUUGGUCGAAGUUUCAACAUCUGUUGCUAUACAUGGUUAAUGUAAUUGUCAGAUUUGUACAUAGGCUUCUCUUUUUACCUUUUUUUAUACUCUGUUGUGGUUUCUAAUGGGAAGUUUGAGACCGCUUUUCUAAUUUUGGUUUGUCUUGCAUGUUGGUUAUGCAUGAGAUUGAUUGUGGCUAUUUUGUGAAGGUUUUGUGAUAGAUUCCAGAUUUUGGCUUUGAAAUUGUAUGCGUAGCUCCAAUUCUUAGACUAUAUUUCAUACUACUAUAUUAGAAAUAUUUGAAAGAGAAGAAUCAAAUUAGUGUUUGAGGAAUCAAUAAUAAGGAGCCAAAGGGUGCCGACCAAAAACUGGGUUAGAUAUUUACUUAUCUAUAUUUUACUUGCAUGUUAAUGAUUUGGUUUAUAUUGAAUGCUGCCAAUGUAUUAGUAUUUUGGUAUUGCGUAGUUAUUAAUUGUAUAGGAUUGCAGUUUACUACAAUGAAAACAAGGUGUGCCUGUCUAUUUGGUUAUUGUGUCUGUUUUAAGAUUUUAAUGUUUAUAGCAUUUUGAAAUAUAUUAUGUAUUUCAAUUUUAAUUUUUGAAAUUAGCUACGUUUUUUGGGUUAUUUCUUUUAAAUUUUGUUGAGCAUAUGAUUUUUGUUACAAUGGUGAUAGUUGCAGUCCUUUGAUUAUAAUUUAAGUUGAGUUGCUGCUAUCCUACCGUUACGGAAUCAGGGCCGUUGAGCUUUGUUACAAAUUAAUGAAAACAUCAGUAUCAAUUGUUUGAUUGGGGUUGAUAAUUUUUGUUCUGUUUUCAGUGUUGGUUCUUUCACUAUCUGCAAUCAAUCUCAUUCUCUCAAGUGCUUAUCGGUUCCUUUGGUUGGAUUAGCUGUUUAAGUUUUUUGGUUUGGUUUGCAUUUUGGUAAUCUUUUAGGUUUAAUCAAAUUGGGUGUCUGACUGUUUUGCAGACGUUUCUUUCUGUUUUUCCGGUGGUGAUCCCCAGUGUCAGGACAGGUAUUUACUUUAUCUUUUUUUUUACUUGCAAGUUAAUGGUUUGGUUUGUAUUGGAAAAGCUUUCAAUGUAUUAAUAUUUUUGGUUUUGGUGAGGUUUGUGGUGAGUACUUUUUAAUUUCGUAUUAUUUGAUGUGCCUAGCUGAAUGGUUAUGGGUGUGUCUGUUUUAGGAAUAUUGAUGUUUAGACAAGAUUUUAAUAUCUAUCACAUAUUUUAAUUUACACUUUGGAUGUCAUCUGGUCAUGCAUUUUGUUUUGGUGUUGUUUUAAUUACAUUUGGUAUCGCAAUUGACCAUACAAUGACAAAUUUUGCAUAAUGGUACAGGGAAAAAAGACAGAUAUUUUUUAUCUGUGUAUCAUACUUGAGUUUAAACAACAAACAAUGCAAAGGUAUAAUUGCAGUUGUCCACAUAAUAUAAAUUCUUCCAAAAUGGUGUAAAAAUGAGGAUGAAUGUUUGUUACGUAAUUUUAAAUAACAAACAAUGCAAAGGUUUACUGCAUCAAAAACUGAAGUUAAAUAGAUUGGCCAAUAAAGUAGAUGGAAUCUGACACCGGUCCAAUAUCUAAGACAUGUUUAUAAAUCGAUGUUACUGCAAGUGGAUUUUAGUUUGGAACUUUUUAUGUGUAUUACAAUAGUUUUUUUUUUGGGUUACCCAGCAGAACAAAGUAUUUGAUUGAGUGAGAGAUUGCGUAUGUUUGUUUUUAAAUUGACAGCUUCUAUAAUAUUCGCUUCUGGAUAUUCAGGGCCAAAAAAAAAUUAUAAUCAUGAUGAUAUUAAUAUAAUUUGGUACAUUGAAGUGUUAAAAAAAACCUGCUAUUGAUUUAGUGCAUUGGUUUGAUUUGGUGUGGGGAUACAAAUUCAUCUUGCAGCCUACUAGAUUUCAGGCAUUUGAGUUGUUUUGGUAGUUACAAUGGCAUCGCUUAAAAUAUAAUUUGGUAAAAGAAUGCAUGUUUUAACAUGGUGCUGUUAAUGUUAGUUCAGAUUGUUAUUCAGACAAGUGGUGAUGUGUGCUAUUAUUGGGCUCAUUGAUUUGAGAUUGUUUGAUGAUAUUGCCAUUUCAAUUCAGAUUGCGUUGAAUCUAGCUAUAAGUUCUUUGUUUAUUCUUUUUUUAAAUACUUUUUGGACAGUUGUUAAUCCAAUUUUUACUGUUCUGUAUUGUUGCCAUUGAUUUUUAUGAACUGUUAUUAUUUUAUUGAUGCAUUGUUAUUCAUGUGAAUAUUUGUUGGCACUACAGGUUAAGAGAAAACUUAAGGCUUUAUUACAAAAGUAAGGAUAAUUAUUUUGAUGGUUUGCUGUUAUGUCAUCAGACAUGUUUGUUGUACUUUACAUUUUGUGCGUUGCUUGAAUACUUAUUGUUCUAUUAUUUGGUGAUAUUGGAAAGUAAGAUGACUCGAAAGAAAAGAAUUCGGGAGGAAAAUUUGUCAGCUGCAUCGUCUGAACAACUUGGGUGCAGUGGUCCCUCCAUGAAUGCUUCUGUUAACAGUAGACCGGGUGGUGCCAAUGCAUCAAAUGAUUGUGCUGAGUCUUCGUCUACAAGAGGAAUCGAUGCUCUGAGUGUUGGACAAUCUAAUAUUGGGCAGGCGUUUUAUUAGAGAAGAAGAAAAACAAAAGGUUUGUGUUUGGGGUGCUUUGUUUAUUUAUGUGGUUAUCUGAAUUGAAUUUGUAUGACUUCUGUUUAAGAUGGUGUGCUGUUUUGUUUCUAGGUAUAUCGUCUGCAUAUGUAGAUGUCGGAGAUAUGACAAACGUUUGUGUUGAUUGUCAUGCAUUGUUUUGGUUGCAAGAGUCAAAAUUUAUUCCAAGGAAUGGAAGUCCGGUCUAUACAGGCUGCUGCCAGGAAGGUCGGAUUAGGCUCCCGCCUGUUAGACCUGCUCCAGUUUUUUUAGAAUACUUGCUUGAUUCCACUAAUGGUCAAAAGAGUGUGCAGUUUAGAAACAAUAUUCGGAGUUAUAAUACCAUGUUUGCAUUUACUUCAAUGGGAGCUAAUGUAGAUAAGACGGUGACUGAUGGUCAUGGUCCUUAUGUUUUUAAAAUUAGUGGACAGGUAUACCAUCUUAUGGGUUCACUUAUUCCUCCAGAAGGUAAGUGCCCUAAGUUUGCACAAUUGUACAUUUAUGAUACUGAGAAUGAAGUUGCAAAUCGACAAAAAGCUGUUGACGGUUUAGACUCGGAAAUUGUUACUAGAUUGAUUGAUAUGCUUGAUGAAAGCAAUGAAUUGGUUCAGUAUUUUCGUUCUGUUCGAAAUAAGUAUAAUGAAAGAUCUCUGCGUUGUUUAAACUUGACACUUCUUGACAAUGAAAGAAUAAAAGAUAGGGAAUACGAUGUGCCAAGUAGUAGUGAAGUUGCUGGCUUGAUUGUUGGUGACAUUGGGUUGUAUGAAGCUGAUAGGGAUGUAGUUGUCGAUACAUUUGAAAAUGGUUUGCAGCGGAUAUCAAGAUUACAUCCAAAAUUCAUGUCAUUUCAAUACCCAUUACUCUUCCCUUAUGGGGAGGAUGGAUAUCAUGUUGGUUUGAAAUUAUGCGCACGCAAAGAUAAUGAGAAUCGCAAGCGAGAAAGGAUGUCCAUGUGUGAUUUUAUGUCAUACCAAAUACAUGAGCGUGCAAAUGAAUCUUCCACUUUGCUGAAAGGAGGCCGACUUUUUCAACAGUUUUUGGUUGAUGCCUAUGCAAAUGUUGAAGAAAACCGUUUGUUUUAUAUUAGAAAAAAUCAACCCGAUAUUAGGAGCGAGACUUAUGUGGGCAUAUGUGAUGCUUCAAUAAGAGAACAUGAUGGUGAAAAUGUAGGCAAACGAAUUAUUUUACCAAGCACUCAUACAGGAAGUCCGCGGUAUAUGAACAAACAUUACCAUGAUGCUAUGGCUUUGUGUCGGAAGUAUGGCCCCCCUGAUUUGUUCAUAACACUUACUUGCAAUCCAAAAUGGCCUGAAAUUGAAAGAGCAUUGUUGAACAAACAUGGUAGCAAACCUGAGGAUCGCCCAGAUAUUGUUGCAAGAAUUUUUAAGAUGAAACAUGAUGAUCUUAUUAGUUACGUUAAAUCUGGCAAGCCAUUUGGGAAGGCUAUUGCAGGUAAGUACCUUUGUUUACAGCGUCCCCCCUUUCCCUUUUUCCGAUUUAAAACAUUAUGAUAUUUAAUUUUGAUGUUUUUAUUAAUCUCAUUGGUAUACAAUGUAAUAUGCAGAUGUUGCGACAAUUGAGUUCCAAAAACGGGGAUUACCUCACUCUCACAUGUUAUUUUGGUUGGCUGAGAAUAACAAGUGUUAUUCGGCUGUUGACAUUGAUUCAAUAAUCUUUGCUGAACUACCUGAUAAGAAGGUCAAUCCAACUUUAUAUGAUAUUGUGAAUCAAUUUAUGAUCCAUGGUCCAUGUGGUGUGCUGAAUCCUAAAGCUCCAUGUAUGAAAGAAAAUAACUGCAAGAAAUCAUUUCCGAAAGAAUACAUGGAAAACACAUUGUUUGCAGCUAAUGCAUUUCCCAUGUAUAUGCGUCGUGAUGAUGAUUCUAAAUUUGUCAUGAAAAAUAAUGUGACAGUAGACAACCGCUUUGUUGUUCCUUACAAUGCUGAACUUUUGUUAAGAUAUAAUGCGCAUAUAAAUGUUGAAUCAUGUUCUCAGUCAACCUUGAUAAAAUAUCUGUUCAAGUAUAUAAGCAAAGGUCCUGACCGAGCAAGAGUUGGUAUUCACUCUGAUUUAAAUGAUGAAAUUGCAGCGUAUUUAAACUGCAGAUAUAUAUCUCCACCUGAAGCUGCAUGGAGAUUGCUUGAAUAUCCAAUUCAUUCUCGGCACCCACCUGUUGAAUUGUUAAAGAUACAUUUACCAGGACAACAAACCAUUGUUUUUGGUCAAAAUCAACCGUUAACCUCAGUCAUUGCAAGACAAGGAUCAGACGAUACUAUGCUCACAUCAUGGUUUCAUGCAAAUACAAACGCGGAGACAAAGCAUAUAGCAAAUAUGUUGACAUUUGCAGAGUUUCCUUCUGCCUUUGAGUGGAAUAAUGGUACAAAAACUUGGACACCACGACAACGAGGCUAUGCAAUAGGUAGAUUGCCAAAUAUAAGUCCGACGAGCGGUGAGUUAUAUUAUUUGCGCCUACUUUUGAACACACGUAAAGGCUGCACAAAUUUUAAAUCUAUUCGGACAAUAUGUGGUGUUGUGUAUUCUACGUAUCAAGAAGCAUGCCGUGCACUCGGGUUACUAGGUGAUGAUAAAGAGUGGAGUGAUGCUAUAACUGAGGUUGUACCAACAGCAAUGUCAUAUCAAUUGCGCCAUCUAUUUGUUACAAUUUUGUUGUACUGUGAUGUUUCAAAUCCGUGUCAACUUUUUGAAACACAUUGGCGUAAUAUGUGUGAUGAUAUUAUAUACAAUGUCCGUUCUGAUUUUAUGAUGCCACACCUAAACAUAUCUGAACGAGAGUUACGAAAUUCUUUGUUGUUUGAGUUAGAGCUACUUUUUGGUAAUGCUAAUUCAUCGUUAGCGAAGUACCAUUUACCAUUGCCAGAUAAGGAAAAAAUGUUCGAGUUGAAAAACAGGCAAUUGAGAGAGGAAUUAAAUUAUGAUUGUGUCGCUUUACAAAAAGAGUACCGAUCUUUAGUAGCAGAAUUAAAUGAUAGCCAGAGAAGAAUAUUUGAGAAUGUGAUUAAUGUUGUUAAUAACAAAAGUACUGGCCUUUUUUUGUUUAUGGUCAUGGAGGCACAGGGAAAACAUUUUUAUGGCACACCAUUAUUAGUAAGCUAAGAUCGGAAGAGAAGAUUGUGUUAGCAGUCGCUUCCUCUGGAAUUGCGUCAUUGUUAUUACCAAACGGGAGAACUGCUCAUUCCAGAUUCAAGAUACCAAUUGACCUUACUGAUGGUAAGGUCUCUUCAAUAACAAAGGGAACACAUCUUGCUAAAUUGGUUGAAAAAACGGAUUUAAUUAUUUGGGAUGAAGCACCGAUGACUAAUAAGUGUUGUUUUGAAUCUUUAGACACUUCACUUAGGGACAUAUUAUCGUAUCGUUUUACACCGGGAACCGUCCCGCCAUUUGGUGGUAUGCCUAUUGUACUUGGUGGAGAUUUUAGGCAAAUAUUACCAGUUGUAAUUGAUGGGAAAAAGUCUACGGUAAUUGAUGCAUCAUUAAAUAGUUCUUUGUUGUGGCCAUUGUUUAAGAUCUUUUACUUGACAGAGAAUAUGAGACUGCGAAAAAAGGAAAUAAGUGAAGAGGAAAAACAACAAAUAUCAGAGUUUGCAGAAUGGUUGUUAAAUGUCGGUGAUGGAAAUAUAUGUGGCAUAGAUGAUGAUUGUGAUAGAGAUUCAAGCUGGAUAGAAAUACCGUCUAAUAUGUUAAUUGAUAACACAAGUGAUCCAAUUCGUUCUAUAUUUCAUGCUACAUACCCAGAUUUUCUCAAAAACUACAACUGUUUCGAUUAUAUUAGAGAACGUGCAAUUAUUACACCUAAAAAUGUUGAUGUGACUGGCAUAAACAAUUAUGCAAUAGAUUUACUGCCUGGUCAUACAGUAACCUAUUUAAGUUGUGAUUCUAUAUGCUUGACAAAUGAUAAUGCCGACAAUUUAAGCUCAUCAUAUCCACCAGAAUUGUUGAAUAGUAUUGAAAUCAGCGGAUUGCCAUCACAUAAAUUAGUUUUGAAAAAAGGAAUGCCUGUUAUGCUACUUAGAAAUUUAAACCAAACAAAUGGUUUGUGCAAUGGGACAAGAUUGAUUAUCACAAAUUUAUUUGACAAGAUUAUUGAAGCUAGGGUGUUAACUGGAACUCAUGUGAAUGAGAAAGUUUUUUUGCCAAGAAUUGUAAUGUCUUCUUCUAACCAGAAAUGGCCAUUUAUAUUGAGGAGGAGGCAAUUUCCGAUUAAAGCAUGUUAUGGAAUGACGAUAAAUAAAAGCCAGGGCCAAUCAUUAAAACAAGUUGGUUUAUAUUUGCCUCAGCCUGUUUUUAGUCAUGGACAAUUGUAUGUUGUUUUAUCUAGAGUAACCUCAAGAGAAGGAAUUAAAAUUAUGAUUUUAAACGAAGACAUACCAAAUACGUAUACAAAGAAUAUUGUGUAUAAAGAUGUGUUGAAAAAUUUACAGUCGCAUUCCGACUAAUAUUGUGUAAAAUGUCCAUACAUGAAACCCGGUUGAUGAUUACAAAUAUAUAUGUCAAUGUCAUUGAGGCACAAGUUUUGACCGGAACACAUGUUCAUAACAAAUUUUAUUUACCACGAACUGUACUGUCUGCAUCAAAACACAGAUGACCUUUUGUUUUAAAAAGAUGCCGAUUUCCAAUAACACUGUUAUGGAAUGGCAAUAAAUAGAAGUCAGAACCAAUCAUUAAAACAAGUUAAGUUAUACAUGUCGCAACUAUUUUUCACUCAUAGACAAUUGUAUAUAGCUCUCUCAAGAGUAACAUUGAGAAAAGGAAUUUACAAAAAAAAAAAAAAAAAAAGAAUAUACCAGAAAAAAAAUACUAAAAAAUAAUGAAAACAAAAAUGUUUUGCAAAGUUUGAGACCAACUCUAAAGCUCAUCAUCAACCGAUACCUCCACCAAUUAGUCCUUCUAUCUUCAGCAAAACAAUGAAUAAAAAUUUGCAGGCCAACAUCAACAAGCCAAAAACCAAACCUUCAGUAAAUAAAAAAAACGGAAGGCAAAGGUAAACAAGGGUAUAAUUGUCAAUUCUAAACAAGCCCUAUGUGUAUAUAACUAUACAGCUCUAUGUAGAAGCAGCCGACUCAGAUCUUUCACUUUCAGAUUUGGUUAUAUCUCUAACCUGCACAUCUAUUUUCUACUUAGCAGUGAUCCAACCUACAAAUCCAACCUACAAACUGAAGACAGGUAUUUUGUUUCUCUGUGCUUGCAUAAACGAUCAAAACUACACAGAUUGCUUUAUUCAAUUAUGCAUAUCUUAUUUGAUACUCUUAGAUAAAAAACAAAUUCAGUUGUUUUGGUUGACAUACUUUCAAAAGUGUAAAUCCUCUCUUCUAUGCAACCCAACAACCAUAAAAUGUCUCUUUUAAGUCUAAUCACAAUUUCAUUCUUAGUAUAUUACACUGUCGCUGUCGAUGAUUCCCAUCUUUUUUUUUCCCCCAAAACAGAUCUGCUUUUGCACCAUGUCGACUACCCGAAUUCGUGACAUUAGUCCUGGAACGGGUGGCAUGAAGAUAAAGGUUCGAGUAUCCCGAAUGUGGAGAGGAAAAGUUCUCAAGCCUGUCCAACGAUAUGAUGGCUUGGGAUGCGUGUUAGUCGACCAAUAUGUAAUUGUUAUAAUAGUUGAAUCAUUUUUAACAAGCACCGAUUCAAACAUUUCUGAUCAUUGUCUAUAUGUUAUAUAAUUAUGAAAGAUACUUAUUAUAUCUAUCAAUUGUUACACAUACAGGGUGACUCCAUCCAUGCCGUGGUCAUGGAAGCUGACAUUGAAGAUGUCUUAAGCAAUAUGGCGGAAGGUCCUGUCUAUGAAAUAAGCAAAUUUAGGAUCAUGAAAAAUCAAGAGUCUCAUCAAGUUGUGCCACAUACAGCACAGCUGCAGUUUAACAAUAAAACUGUGUUCAAACUGAUGCGUGAAGAAUUCCCGGCAAUACCCAUACACUGCUUCAACCUACUGGACUACAGCGAACUUCCUGCACGUAACAAAAAAGACACUAUAUUGACAGGUACAAAUUCACAAUCAAGGUGUUCACUAAAUUUAUAUAAUAUGUACAUAACGUUCACAUUUUAUUCUAAUAUUUGAUUGUUAAUCAAACUUCAUACUUUCUAAACGUUGUCUUUUUGCUAAGUAGAUAUAAUUGGGCUUAUAAAGGAGAUGCAUCAAGUUGAAGACACUCCUGUCAAAGGACAAUUGGCAAAAACGCGGGAACUACGAAUACAGAACACAAGGUACCAAAUUGUGAAUAUUUAGGUUAUAAAUAUGUUGACUGUCUAAAGGUUUAAUACACAAUUUCAGUUAUUUGAUAUAUUCAUUUACACACAAUUCUACUGUUGUAUGCGUUUACUGUUUUCCCUAGGAAUGAAGAGCUGCAAGCAACACUUUGGGGAGAACUUGCACUUGACUUUGAUGCAGACAAGAUACUUCAGUCACCCCCGCCAGCUGUGAUAGUCAUUACGAGUUCAAAAGUGGCCACGUAUGCAAGUAAGAACAAAUGUCUUUUUUCUCGACGAGAUCACACUAUUUAUUAUUUCGAAUUGAAUUACUUCUAUUGUCUAUUCUUAGAGAAAAUAGUGGUCAACACAAGCUUGAACAGCUGUGUCUUCAUCAAUCCAAAUAUUCCUGAGUUACAGGAAUACAAAACAAGGUACACAUUUAAAGAUGAAAAUAUGGCCAUAAUUGACAUUCGGUAUUCAUUGUGUGCUAAUAUCAAAUUCUGUACACCUCAAUAAAAUUGUAGGUUCUCAGCCCGAACUAUGCCCCAAAAUUCAUACCAAGCUCAGGCCAAAGCACAAGUUCUUCUGUCACAGAAACAUCAAACAUAAUCAAUAUCGGCAACCUCAUCUUACAAGAUGCAGAUGAAAACAAGGUAACAACUUCUAAAAGGACAUAAUUUAUUUUUAAUUUUUAUUUUAUUUUUUCCUUUUGAAGCUCUAAAAAGACAUAAUGUUGUGCACCUGUUGUUAUGUAUAUUAAAAAAAUUACAACUAAUGUCAUAUGUGACUUCAAAAUGUCUAUAUCAACAUAGGAUUCCAUGUUCACCUGUCGAGCUAAAAUUACAAAAAUCAUCACUCGCGAAGGGUGGUACUACUUUGGUUGUCCAAUCUGUAGAGUGAAGCUACAAAUGGGAUCCGACUCUGUAUUGAAUAAAUGUCCAAACCAUGGAGAGCAAGCUGGAAAGCCAAAGUAAGCAAAAGAAAUUUUUUUGAUUAACUAAAUCUAUGAUACAUUUGUCUAAAUAACUCCACUGAUACUAAAAGUGUCUAUGUUGAUUUCACGGCCUUAUUCAUCUUGAAUAUCGCAUGCGUAAAUUUUUUUAUGAUGGUGUUACUAUUACAGGUACAAGAUGCAAAUUCGUCUCGAAGAUGAAGAUGAUUCAACUUUGGCCAUGCUCAUGGGCAAACCUGCAGAGAUACUAUUUAGAAAACCCUGUAGCCAAUUGAUAGAUGAAGGAAGUACAGAGAAAACUGUCAUCCCGAAAAUCAUCCUUGAUACAAUGCACAUAUACAAAAUCUGGAAGAUUGGGUUUGGUACAAGGAAAGAUUUCAUGGUUAGAGGUGUUUACCCUGACACUGAAAAGGUUGGCCAAGAGAUAGAAGAACCAAAGACAUCGGGGAAACUUCCCUUGAAGAGAAAAUCAUGGUCACCAAAAGAAAGCACUCUGCAUCAACUUUUGGAGUCCGACAAAAAAAAAAAAAAAGGUUUCAAUCUUUACUAUAGUGUCCAUCUAUUCUUUCUUAAUGUAGAUACUGAAAUAUUUAAUGACUUUUACAUCAUAAUUGACAGGGAAGCAGGAGGCAGUAGCAAGGACACAGCAAAACCAGAUUAAGUUAGACAUGAUAGCUCCAUUGUAAUAAUCUAACUAUGUUUUGGCUACCAACUUUUGCAAGGGCGAUGGUGUGUGGAAAAUGCCCUCUUUUGUUCAAAUGAUGUUCUAGCUUGCAACUGGAGCCAAUGUGAUCUGUACAGUCAAAUAGUUUUUGGUGUGUGUGUAUAUUAACAGCUUAAUCUACAACGUUGUAAUCGUUACAGGAAAAUGGCUUUUUGAUGUGAAAUAGUUGUGAUCUGUACAGUCAAAUAGCUUCUGGUGUGUGUGUAUAUUAACAGCCAAAUCUACAGACUUUUUGAUGUGAAAUAGUUUUUGGUGUGUCUCUAUAUAUGUAUAUCAGUUACCAAAUUAAAGGUGUUGUAAUUGCCUUAACUGAUCUUUAUAUCCACUUUACUAUUAUUUGUUUUCAAGUCGAAAUGUAUGUCAAUAUCUCACUUUAUUACAAUUAAUUUUGUUUCUUAGUAUUAAUAAUCAGAACAAAAACAUUUAAAGCAGUCAAUAACUGGUACCCGCAGCAACGCGCGGGCACAUACCUUGUAUGUCACAAAGGGCCAGUACUAGGGGUGACGCAAGUGCCUCCUGUCUCAAUGCAGGUUCAGUUGGGGGCAGGAGGAGGGGUCCCCGUAGUCGCAGUUCCUAUACGGCUCUCAAUGCUGCUCCGGGUGAAUUCCAUCAACCACUUGCCUCGGCUCUUAAUGCUGCUCCAGGUGAAUUGCAUCAACCAUCUGUGGCGGUUGGUGUUUUCGAGACGCCUGCUAUGGUCAGAAUGGUACGAAGAUCACAGAAUAGAAAUCAACCUGGACCAUAUUACGUCUAAACUCCACCUCGUUUUAGCACUAGUUCUAUAUACUAUAGCAGGAAGGCAAUAUAACUGUUUAUUCAGGUAGAGAAAUGACGGUGUUACCCCCGGUUUGCAGAAAAUUACAAAACUGCCACUGCAGCAUCUAUCUCCACAGCAAUACGUGAACACAUGAAAUGUCUGUUUUGCCCCUGCUUCGUAACUAAUCACAAAAUUGCCAUUAUCUGCUCUGUCUUGACAUCUGCUGUUUUUAUAUUGCUGUGUUGGACAUCUGUGAGUCUGGAUUGCUGCCAUGUGUCUUGGUCGUUGACGUCUGGCGUCGAUGGCUUCUUCUCCACGAUCGGUUCGAGUGUAUCGAGUGUUCAUUGACCAUCUUCUUUGUCGCUCUUUGUUGUGAGAGAGAGAUGGGUUAUUCGUGAAAUGAAAAUUUGUAUGGCUCUUCUCAAUCAAAUGGUCGAGGUAAUGAUAUUUGUUCUGUAUAUGAUCGAUUCUGGGUUUCUAUUUCGUUUGCCCUGAUCGUAUUUACCAUUGUUUUGAUACCGAUGCGUUCAUUCAAUUGUUAAACAGGUGUCUGGAUUGCGAUCCAUAUUCCUUAUGAAAAAAGGUAUUGUGUUGUUGUAUCCAUGAACAAUCAACUUAUUUUAUUAUGCCUCAUUCUUGGUGCAAUUACAUGUUAUUUCUGUUCAGUUCAUGUUCAAAUUUUGCUCAAAUUUCAUUAACAGAUUAUACUCUUGGAUCCUAAUUAAAAUUGAAAUUGAGGAGUUUGUCAAUUUUUUUUUUGGCUCUAUUUAAGGGUGUUGAAAGUCUUUGAUGGUUCCAUUUGAUGGUACAUUUGCAAGAACUGCAUGUAUUAACAAUUUGUAUGUUUCAGAUCUCGACUUCGCUAUUCUGGACUCUGGAGAUGAAUCAUUUUGCAUUGGUUGAUGGAAAGCCAUAUCCUUUCGAUAUGAGAGGUGAGUUGGAUGACACUGGUGCUUUCAAGAACUUCAGUAAGUACAUUCACUUUACGUUGUUAUUACCAUGAAUCAUGAGCAUAUGAGCUAACAAAUCCUUUGAAGUUUGAACUAUAUCAGGAAAAGUUUAAGUGUUUGACAAAUCAAAUGAUGGAGCUAAUAUAUUAGAGUAUUUGCAGAAGAUUUGUUCAGUGAUAUUGGGGAAUUUUUGAUUUUGCAGGCUGGAAUUUUGUGUAAUGCGUGCAUUGGUUCAAUUUUCAGGUAUGCAUUUUAGUUGUUUAUUGGAAGAUUGAUGAUGUGUGGUGUUGAUGGAAAAAGUUAUCUGUACUUGACUUUGACUUAUUAAUAAAUCGGUUCUCUGCUAAAGAUAGUAACAAUUGUGUCAAAUUUUUACAAGAAUUUAUGACAGUACACAUUGUUCUGAUUUUUUCCAUUGAGCGUUGCCAAAAACAAUAUCCAAUUGAAUAGUAGGGAGUUCUUUGGUCAAUGAAUUGAGUACAGAAAAUUAGGGAGUUCUUUGGUCACUGUGGACUACAAAUUGGAAACAUUUGGUACUUCAGGUCUAAGAUUUCAAUAGUUUUAGAUAUAGCUUGAGGCCCAAUAUUGAAACAUUGAAAUCUUCAGUGAUCAUUAACUUACAAGGUCUGAUAGGAUUCAGUUCAAAAAGGGUCAUAUUAACAAAGGAAGUUUGGAAACUGACACCUGCAUUUCAAUAUCAAAAUGUAUGUCUAAAGUUUAGAUGAAUAUUAAAUACUUUCGAUUUUGAGUCUUAGCUGCUUGCAUUAUAAUACACGCUCAUUGCAUCCCUUUUUUGUACGUUUUGAUUUAGAUUUAUGCUGCUAUUGGAAAUGUUGGUGGAAGGGAGUUAGCUGUCAUCUUUUUAGUUCUUAUAUUUAUUUAGAACUACUCAGAAGGAUCUGUUUCAGAUGGAAGCAAUAGCUGAUAUUGUUGAUUAUUCAUGAGGGGUAAAAUACUCUUAACAUGUUUACUUAUCGUUUACUAUUUAUUUCAUUUACUGUUUGAAAAUGCUAGAUAUGUUUCUUCCACUGAAAAGUUCUCUGUGACCAGGAGACUACCAAAGGUUGCAGGAAAGUCUACAAUUGAACAUCAAGUUUGGAUAAUGAGUUUCUGAUAAUUUUGAAAUAUAUGUGAGAGCAUUAUAACUUUCAACAACAUUUAAACACUUUAAGACCAUUACUGGUUUUCAUAAAUGUGUUGUGGAGCUAUUCAAAAUAAUGAAGGACAAUAUUGAGCUUGCAGUUUUUGCAGAAGAAUUUUAAUGGGAAAUAUAUAUCAGUGUUGUCAAUGCGUAGGAAACUAUCAUUAAAGCUUUGAAUGGUGUUGAUCAUCCAUCUUUAACAAGUCUCUUCUAUUUACUUUGGCAGCAUUGAAACCCUCCAAUGCUGGUAUCAGGCCUACUUAAUUGUUUGUUCAGUUUCAACUGUUUAAGGAACAUGAGCAUAUGAGCUGACAAAUCAAUUGAUCUAUUUCAGAAAAAGUUUCUGUGUUUUGACAAAUGAAAUGAUUCAGCUAAUAUACUGUAGAGUAUUUGCAAAAGAAUUGUUCAAUGGGGAAUAUAUCAGCUUGGUUGAUGCUUUGGGAACUAAGCAUAAAGCUUUUAAUGGUGUUAAUUAUCCGUCUGUACCAAGCCCUUUAUUUACUUCGGUAACAUUGGAGGAAUAUGAUUUCAGUAUCAAGUCUAUGCAAUAGUUUGUUCAAUUUGAUUCAACUGUUUAAAGGAUGAGCUUAUGAGCUUACGGGUCCAUUGAACAGUUAGCUUAUGAGCUUUUUUAUAUAUUCACGUUUGUCCCAAUCUGAUAUUUGUGGCCAUUUGUACAUGGUUCAGAAUAAUAUUCUUCCUCGGGAAUCUUUGUAGAGUAUUCAAGGCAGCGAGAACUAAGUCACCCAUAACAAUCAAAACACAAAUUAGUAGACAAUUGAGAGGUAAUUGAGAGCUACUACUUAAUAUAACUUACUUUCUCAUUGCAGAGGAGAAGAGAGCAAAAGGGCUUCCAAGUGAGUGUUGCUUAUAUCUAUAUCUAUACAUUUGUUUACUAUUUCAGAACUUAUUUAUGUUUCGCUGGUGUGGUUCAAAUGAAACCUCUGACAAAAAUAUAUUCUUUACUUUGCAGAGGACAAGGAAGUAAAGGGACCUCAAAGUAAGUUUAGCAUUUCUAUUUCAAAACUUAUUUAUGUUGCGAUGGUGCCCUUUGAAUGGAAUGAUCUAUGAUCAUCUUCUGAUGUUUAUCAAUUGACAACGAUUAGUAGCAGUUUCAUUUACAAUCAAAUCGAAUUUCUGUCUAAAAUAUGUUUUUCAAUUUGCAGAGGAGAAGGAAGCAAAUGGACACCAAAGUAAGUGUUCAUUAUAUCCAUAUCAGUGCAUUUGUUUUCUCUAAAAAUUUAUUUAUGUUGCAGUAGUAUGUCUUGCAUUGGUUUUGUUUAUCUUUUAACAACUUUAUCAAUAUUCAAUGCUUCAAUUUAAAUGUUUAUGUACUAGACGUCAACCAAACAAAGCUAAGUCCAAGACAAAGGAGGACUAAGGUUUCUGUGCUUAUAUAUAUGCUCGCUCCCCAGCAAUAGUUUUUUUGAUGCUAAGUUGCUAACAGGUUAGACGUACAUGGUUCUAACUACAGAUCGACUAUUGUUUUGACUAGCAAUGGGAAGCGUUUUGCUGUGCAGAAUGAUAUAAUAACACAUGACUUAUUUUUUGUGCUCUCAGUUAUUUUGGUGUGUAUGACAGUGUUGUCUACAGAGAGAGCAAUGUACUGUAUAAUACUACAAUGUGAUGUUUUUGUUUGAUAAGUCAUGUGUAUUGUAGACGCUAAGUUAAUGGAUUUUUUGUAAUCUAACAUUUUCAUUUUUCACCAUAUCUCCAUGUAAUAGUGUGUGUGUGUGUGUUUACUAUGCAAUAUCUCCAUUAUAUUGCUACAUUCAUUGGCAUACCAAACAACAUAAAAAUUUAUCCAAACAAAAACAAUUCCGGUGAUUAAUAUCAGUCAUUGCAAACCGUGGCAUCGCGUGGGCAUCAUCUAGUCUGGUUAUUAUUGCCAAUGCCAGCCGGGUUAUCAAGGGAACCCUUACCUCCCCGAUGCUUGCCAAGGUGAAAUAUGUAAAUAACAAUAUACAGUACAUGUGUAUGUGUGUCUCUGUGUGCACUUUUCAUUUGAUAUGUUUGAGGGUACAUGCGUGUUUGUGUCUGUGAUUCAGUUGCUGCAGCCGGAAAUUAAAGCUCCGGUUAUGGAUUAAGUUUACAUGUUUGUUAAUAACAAUGUGUUUUCCUGGGUUUUUCAGAUAUUGAUGAGUGCAAGGUUUCAAACCCCUGCACCAAUGGACUGUGUGAAAAUUCACCUGGAAGUUACUUACGCUUGUGUGACAAAGGGUACAGAAGCAAUGGAACGAAUAAUCAAAGCUGUAUUCAAGAGAUUCCCAACGACAAAAAUCAAACAAAGACGACGCUCCUGCUUAUUGUAUCAUUGAGUAUGUACUAUUUCUAUAAUAGCACGCUGCAUGCAUCAUCUGAUCAUAUAUAGCCUAAAGUCAAACGUAAACUUUUUUUGAACAAUAAUUAACCUGAUCAGCUAUAUUAGGACCCAAAAUGAAAUUCUCGUAUCUAAUAUUUAAAAUAUGCAUCAUUUACCUUCCUCAAAAAAUAAAAAAAAAUGCAUCAUAUACAAGUGAUUUGAAAUUAAAAAAAGAAAAUGAAAGAAUAUAUAUGCAUCAUAUACAAGUGAUUUGAAGAAGCUUUCACGGUUUCACCUACAAAUGUUAUCCCCUGCUUUUACGGUACCGACUUUUAAAAGCUUAGAAAGUUUGAUUGAUCUAAAUUAUUUCACUAAUAAUUUAGAAUCAAAUAAAAAUAACUAAAGAAUUUCAUCGAACUCACUAUAUAUGUGCAGGUGUAACUGGGGCCUUCUUGGUUCUGUUUGUUGGAAUUUCAUUGAUAUGUUGCAGAAUAAAGAAAACAAAAUUCAACAAACUGAAAGAAAAGUACUAUAAAGAAAAUGGUGGCUUAUUGUUACUACAGCAACUCGCUAACAAUGGAGGCUCAGUGGAGACAACAAAAAUCUUCACCACAGAAGAACUAGAGAACGCAACAAACAAUUACCAUGAGAGUGGAGUCCUUGGAGAAGGAGGCUACGGAACAGUUUAUAAAGGAGUACUAAAUUAAAGGACAACAAAGUGGUUGCCAUAAAGAAGUCAAAAGGAGGUACCUAGUUAAAUAGGGUCGGAAAUACAUUAUAAACGUAAUACUUUAUGUUCUUAUCAUUAUCCUUUCGCAAAUCAACCACAAAAACGUGGCAAAACUAUUAGGUUGUUGUUUAGAAACAGAAGUGCCUUUACUAGUAUAUGAGUUCAUCACCCAGGGGACUCUCUUUGAGCACAUUCAUAAAAGAAGAUCACCUCUCCCUUUUGAAUUACGAAUGAAGAUAGCAACUCAAAGCGCAGAAGCACUGUCUCACUUACACUCCUCAAUUUCCACACUGAUAAUACAUCGAGAUGUGAAAACGGCAAAUACUCUGUUAGCUGAUGAUUACGCGGCGAAAGUGUCAGAUUUCGGAGCUUCCCGUUUGGUUCCUUCAGGUCCAACUGAUAUGCAAACUUUGGCAGUGCCCGGAACAUUUGGAUACCUAGACCCUGAAUAUCUGCAAUUAAACCAACUAACAGAAAAGAGUGACGUUUACAGCUUUGGAGUUAUCCUAGUGGAAAUAAUAACAAGCAAAGUGCCACUUUCUAAAGGGAAAAGCUUAGCAAGCAUCUUUAUUGUUUCCAUCAAAGAAGAUAGGUUGGAUCAAAUUCUUGACGAUGACAUAGUGAAUGAGGGAAACAUUGAGACGGUAAAGAAUGUUGUCAAUCUCGCAAAACGGUGCUUGAGGGUGAAUGGGGAGGGAAGGCCUACCAUGAAAGAAGUUGUCAAAGAGUUAGAGGAAAUGAGUGUCACGGCAAAACAUCCCUGGGAAUUUAAUGCUAGUUUUUGCGGAGAAGAGACUGAGUACUUGCUUGGAUCACUUAAUACAGAUGAUUCCGUGGUACGACCAAUGCAUCUGACAGCAUGCAAAACCAACUGCAGUUGAUGCCCUAUGGCGGUGGACGUUAGUUGAUUGGUGUCGCUUGUAAUGUUUUCUUAAUCCUGUAUGUACGUAUUUUUUAGUAUUGUUGUUUCUGUCUGAAUGUCUGAUAAGUGCGUUAGAAAUAAAAGUGUAUUUUCGCAUUUUGUAAUUGUUGUAUGCAUGUAAGGAAACAAGUGUGGUCUUAGUCUUACAGUACACUUACCGGUGUUUUUUUCCAGGUAUUGUGAUUGAUGCAACUUAGCAAGCAACCGGUUUUCCUUGAACCAUAUAUGUGGUUAAUUAAAGGCCUUUGCCUUUCACACGAGUUGGUGGUGCUUGAAAGUUGGUAUGUGAUGGUCAGCACAUCAAUGGGAAACCUUAAUUUUUGGUUCUAGCCUCACCUAAUCAUCGUUCAUCAAAGUUACAUGAACCCUAACAAUAACACGGUUGAUAUAUACCAGCUUGGUCAACUUGAAGCAUGAGUCCGAUUGUUUUCCCAACUAGCCUUUUGUGAGUGUCACCAAAAUGAUCUAUGAUUUUGGAAAAUUCUAGUAUACAAAUUUGCAUAUAUAUCAUACAAACUAAGUAUGUGGCUAUCAUUGCUUGUAAAUAUAGUAAUAUGACAAUUUUAUCCUCCUCAAAAUACUUCUUGUAUGUCCUUACAUAGAAGUGAGUGGACCACUUUUUGAGUUUGUAUACCAUACACAUCUGUAUAGUAGACAAACCCAUGAUUUUCACCCAAAUCAAAACAAAAAUCGGAAUGCAUAAUAAUAAAGAAUUAGUCAUAGUCAUUUAGGAGAAUCAUAUAUAGCUCUCUGAAAACCCCAGAGAUCAUUUUCUUGACACGAAUUACAUCUCGUUCAAUGGUGAAUGUAAAGAGGAAGCAGUCAUGUACCACGAGCUUGAACUUCUAGAAGAGAAGGGACGCGCCACAUAGAGGGCAUGGCGCUCUUGAAGGAGUCGAAGGCCACCGCUCUGAACCAAGGAGCCACUCACGAUAUUUAACCUAUUUUUUAGUACCUUGUAGGUGUAAAUAUGGAGAUUGAAACUUUUCAUGAAUGCUAACAAUUUUCUUAGAUUUAAAGAAAUAUAAUCUCGAACCUUCCUAGCUCGAAGUACCAAGUCAACAGUUAAGGAUACAUGUAUAUGCAAACUAGGUAGAUAAGUACUACACUAGUUGAAUCUGCAUGCUCACUAGUUUUCGCUUGGAAAAUUUCCACAAGUCAUGUCAUGUUCACAAUGCAAAUUAGAAAAUUUCCUCCAGUCAUGUCAUCUUCACACUGCUAAUUAGAAAAUUUCCACCAGUCAUCUUCGUAUUGCAAAAGGAAAUUCUUUAAUUCCAUUUAGAUCUACUUGUGACCUGGACGACUUCAUCUUAUCGUCUAGAAAUUGACAUAAACUAAUAAACGAAACAAGUUCCUAUUUACAACUACCACCUCAACUUGUCACCAUGAUCAUCAACCAAAACGGAACACGAAUUGUCAUAUUGACAUAGCAUAGAAUAAUUAGUUAGUAGCACAAAAUUAUCGAUGGAAAUGGUGGUUGUGCCCCGUCAGUCCGUUAAUUUAUAGUGAUGGGGUGAAAAAAUAAAUAAAUCAAAAGCCAUUCUAAACACAAGGACCAAAAAUAAUUUUUGCCACCUGAUCAGUAAACAAAUCAAGUAUAGCUAGGCAGAAGGGGUCCUGGCUUGGCAAAGGCACAUCAAGCUUUCGUUUUCUUGAAACCGAUUGAUCUCAUAACUUGUGCUUGACUAUGAGAUAACAUCUCUUCUGUAUUACCUGCUUGCAUCUAAACUAAAAUAUCAAGUUUUUGGGCUUACCAAGUAGCUUCGGGAAAUAAGAGAGACGACCAAGACAUUUUGAUUUGCUCACAACCUCUUCCUUCUAUUCGUCUACAAAAGCGAGCUUGCAAACACAACUUCACUCAGAAGAAAUACAGUUUAUACAUUUAUACCUCUCAGUUGAAGUACUGAGUUAAUUGGUGCAUGCAGGUUACUAAUUAACUAAGUAUGCAAUUCAUAUUGGUGGUGGUACUGGUUCUCCUCGCAUUUACGGCCGCAGGCAAAGAAGCAGAAGCAGCUGAAGCCCUCCCGCCUCAAGCGCUUCAUGGCUGCUCUGACAAGUGCGGUGAUCUCACAGUUCCAUAUCCAUUUGGCAUGGAGGAGGGUUGUUACCUGGGAGAUGAAUUCUUUAUUUAUUGCAACCGUUCGACCCAAUCAGCAUAUUUGAUGGGCAGCAGCAGCAGUAUCAUUGUUACUAACAUUUCCCUAGAGGUUGGGGAGAUGCAAAUAUCGAAGCGAAUAGGGCGAGAUUGUUACGAUAAAGAGGGAAACCGAAACUACAACAUAAGCACAGCAGGAAAGUUCACAUUGGUACCUCCAUACACUAUAUCUGAUGCCCAAAACAAGUUCUACGCCGUUGGUUGUGACACUAUUGCAGCCAUGGGCAGCUUCCGAGGGGAAAAAGAAGUCAUUACUGGGUGCAUUUCAGUAUGCAACAGCCUCAGCAGUGUUAAUAAGAACUCUUGCUCUGGCAUUGGGUGUUGCCAGGUUAACAUCCCCAGUGGACUGAUCGAUCUCACUUUCGAGUUGAGAAGCUUCUACAAUCAUACGAAUGUAUCUGAGUUUAACCCCUGCAGCUACGCCUUCAUUGCAGAGCAAGACCGGUUCAAUUUUAACUCUUCUAGUUUUGAACAACUGAAAGGCAUUGAACGGCUUCCAAUGGUUCUUAAUUGGGCCAUUGUGAAUGACACAGAUCCCUGCGAUGAGGCUCAGAACAGGAAGGGUUCCGCAUGCAAGGCUAAUAGCAAGUGCUUCAACCCAGCUAUCAAUGAGUCUGUAGGUUACUUGUGCCAGUGCUUGCCUGGUUAUGAAGGAAACCCGUACCACCCAGAUGGUUGCAAAGGUGAAAAAUUAUCUUUGAUUUACCUAUUCAGCUACUAUUAUAUCAAUAUAAAUUAAUUAAAGCUCUCACCAUUGGAAGUGCAAGUUUACCAAAUUUAGUGAUGUCUGAUACGCUUUUCCUUUCCUAAUUUCCCUUUCAGAUAUUGAUGAGUGCAAAGACCCAAACCUCUGCCAGAACGGACAAUGCUUGAAUGAGUGAAUCUGCCACCUCCACAAAAUUACACUUGUUCAUCAUGUCACAAAGGAUACAAACACGACGGCACCAAUGACAAGAGUUGCAUCAAAGACGAUUCCGAAAGACGCUCAAAGAUCGUUCUCCUGCUUGAAAUUUCAUUGGGUAUGUAGAAUUAGAUAUUAACAUGCAUGUGCAUCCUAUGACCACCCUAAACUUCUAUUGAACAGUAUUGACGGACUGAAAUUUAUUUAGCUUCAGCUAUACUUUCGUUCCAAAUUCUAAUUUCGCUUAACCUAGUAAUACUCAUACUUUUUCUUCUAAAAGAAGUGAUGAAAAGAGAAUGCGUACGUAAGUCAUUCCCAUUUUAUAAAGGAAAACUUUUAAUUCUUAUAAGAAAAAAAGUUUAAUUUCUCUGAUGUGUAAAAAAAAGACGACGCUCUUCCUUAUUGUAUCAUUGAGUACGUGCUAUUUCUAUAAUAGCACGCUGCAUGCAUCAUCUGAUCAAAACCUGAUCAGCUAUGUUCGGACCCAAACUGAAAUUCUCAUAUCUACUAUUUAAAAUGAAGAACUUAAAAAAGAAAAAGAAAGAAUAUCCAUCAUAUACAUGUGAUUUGAAGAAGCUUUCACGGUUUCACCUACAUAUGUUUUCCCCUGUUUUUAUGGUACUGACUUUUAAUAGCCUAGAAAGUUUGAUUAAUCUAAAAAAAUUCACUAAUUAUUUAAAAUCAAACAAAAGUAACUAAAGAAUUUCAUCAAACUCCACUAUAACAAAUCUCCCUAGAGACAAUCAGAAAUAAAAUCAAUUUUGCCUCAAUUGAUUGUUGGUAUAUAUGUGCAGGUGUAACUGGGGGCUUCUUUGUUCUGUUUGUUGGAAUUUCAUGGAUAUGUUGCAGAAUACGGAAAACAAAAUUCAAGAAACAGAAAGAAAAGUACUUUAAAGAAAAUGGUGGCUUAUUGUUACUACAACAACUCGCUAACCAUGGAGGCUCAGUGGAGACAACAAAAGUCUUCACCGAAGAAGAACUAGAGAAUGCAACAAACAAUUACCAUGAGAGUGGAGUCCUUGGAGAAGGAGGCUACGGAACAGUUCAUAAAGGAGUACUAAAGGACAACAAAGUGGUUGCCAUAAAGAAGUCAAAAGGAGGUACCUCGACCCAGAGCGAACAGUUUGUUAACGAGGUGAUUGUUCUUUCUCAAAUCAACCACAGAAAUGUGGUGAAGCUACUAGGUUGUUGUUUGGAGACAGCAGUGCCUUUACUGGUAUACGAAUUUGCACUCUAUACGAGCACAUUCAUAAAAGAAGAUCAUCACUGUCAUUUGAACAGCGAAUGAAGAUAGCUGUUGAAACAGCAGGAGCACUAGCAUACUUACACUCCUCCACAUCAAUGCCAAUCAUACAUCGAGACGUGAAAGCAGCAAAUAUACUCUUGGAUGAUAAUUAUACAGCCAAAGUGUCGGACUUCGGAGCUUCACGGUUGGUUCCUCUAGGUCAAACCGAAAUACAAACUUUGGUGCUCGGGACGUUUGGAUACCUAGACCCAGAAUAUUUGCAGUCGAACCAACUAACAGAAAAAAGUGAUGUCUACAGCUUUGGAGUUGUCCUAGUGGAGCUACUUACAAGCAAAGUGGCAGUUUCUAAUGAUAGAUGCUUAACAAGCAUCUUUAUUUCUUGCAUGGAUGAAGAUCGCUUAAAAGAAAUUCUUGACGAUGCCAUACUGAAUGAGGGAAACAUUGAGACAGCAGUAAACGUGGCCAAUCUCGCAAAAAGAUGUUUGAGGUUAAAAGGGGAGGAAAGGCCUACCAUGAAAGAAGUUGCCAUGGAGCUAGAGGGAAUGGCAAUUAUGGCAAAGCAUCCGUGGGGAAAGAAUGCUAAAUUCUGUCCGGAGGAGAAUGAGUACCUGCUUGGUUCACCUACUUCAGACAGUUAUGACAUGGAUGCUAGAGGAGGUGAUCACAAUUCUAGUGGUUUAACCAUUGGUACGACUACUGUGUAUGACAGCAUGCAAAUCCAGAUGUUGAUUCCACAUGGUAAUGGACGAUAGUUAGUUGGCGUGUUCCUUAUGACUUAUAUACCAUGCAUUGUUGUAAUCCUUGUUUCAUUUUUAUUAGUGCCUUGUUAAAUAAGUGUAUGUAAGCAUACUAUUAAUUUGAUACGUGUAAAUUAAGUGUGGUCUUAUAUGUGUGUAUAUAUAUUAUACAAUCUGUUUCAGAUACGGACGUCCGCACCGCCUUAAAGUGCGGACAUCCCUCCUUUCGCCACCGUACGGCGCCGACGAGGGCGCGCCUCCACCCCAGCGAACUCCAGCAGCAUCCCCGACCAUUUUCCCUCCCCGGCGAGUCCGCCGAAUCCCAGUUUUCCUGCCAGAUCACCAAAAACUUCAAAAAAAAGUCAAUCUGGCCCGAAAAUUGGAAUUCGGCAGACUCGCCGGGGAUGGAAAGUGGUCAGGAAAGCUGCUGGAGUCCGCUGGGAUGGAGGCGCGCCCUCGCCGGUGCCGUACGGUGGCGAAAGGAGGGACGUCCGCACUUUAAGAGCCGUGCGGAUGUCCGCACCUGAUACUAGCUCCCUAAUAUAUUAUAUGUAUUUAUAUAUGAAGUGUUGUUUUGAAUUCUUUCCCUGAAUUUUGUACUCUAUGCAAUUUAUAAAGCAAUCAGGCAUAUAACAGUAUUCAUCGAUUCUAGAAAACAUUUUAUGCUUAAUUUCAAAACAUACAUCCAAAUCAAGGCUUUAGACUAUCAUCAUGAACAGGCGUAUUCCUCUGGAUUAAUUGGCUAAACAAAUUCUAGCAAUAGUGAGGACUUACAGAUAUCAAGUAAUAGCCAGUUGAACUGGGAGCACUUACUGGAAUCAGACAAGUAAGUUGGACCGCCCCCUUCAUCUAGAAGCUUUGCCUGGGGAAAUCUCAAACAGUAUAAGUGAGCGUGCCUGCAAACUGAAAAAGCAAUCCAUGUCAAAACAACAUCUUUUUAACAAUGAAGAUGAUAUGACAACAGAAGCCAUGCAAUUUACAGAUUUUAAAGCUUCCCCGUUCAAUCUAAUGAAGAUCAUUGUCAAAUAGAGCCCAACAGUGUUACAGUACAUCAGUGCUAGUGGUAUUUUAGGGUAUUAUAUGUUCACGACUUCACAGAAUAACUGUGAAGGAAAACUACAACCACCAGAGCUUAAGCCCCAAAGCAAACAAUAACGUUACACAUUUUCAGCCUAACCGGGACAAUAAACCUUAGCUGGUAAGAUCUAGUGAAGAAUUACUUGCUCAUUUAUUAAAAGUGUCUUCCCAAAACCAAAAAUAAUAAAAAAAGAAAAAAGAAAUCAUGUUACAGGCCUAAGCCACUCAAGGAAAGCUAAAGAACAACUUGACUAAGGGAUAAUUCGCGACUACUACAUAUACAACCAAGUGCAGUGAUAAUGCAACAUCUGAAAAUGCGAAAUGAAGUUACUCAUGUACAUGUCAUGAUGGGUACACAAUCUACGAUAAGAACAAUGAUCGUUGCGGCAAAAAUCUUGAUACUUCCAUACAAAUUACAGUGGGUAUGUAUUGAUAGCAAUGUGAUUUACAAUUUUAAAUAUGAGCUUCCGCACUAGCAUGUUAUUAUUUAUUAAAGACUGUAAUUCUGUAAACACAAUAUACAUAUCUGAUAAAAUUCAUAAAGAUAAUCCGUUGUGAUUUUUCAAUUGUAUGCAGGUAUCAUUUUCAGCUUCUUGGUAAUGCUGGUUGGAAUUUCAUGGAUGUAUUGGGUAAUGAAGAAAAGGAAGUUCAUCAAAUUCAAGGAGAAGUACUUCAAAGAAAAUGGUGGCUUACUGUUACAGCAACAACUUGCUACUCAGGUAAUGGAGGCAAUAAAAGUCUAUACAACAAAAGAACUUGAGCAGGCUACAAACAAUUACCACAAAAGUCAGAGUUCUCGGUGAAGGAGGCUACGGAACAGUUUACAAAGGAUUUAUUAUCAGAUAACAAAGAGGUCGCAAUUAAAAAGUCAGUUUGUAAAUGAGGUGAUUGUCCUUUCUCAGAUAAACCAUAGAGAUGUAGUGAGGCAAUAUAUUAGGUUGUUGUUUAGAGUUCAUUAGUCAUGGUACCCUUUUUGAACACAUUCAUAAGAAAAGAUCAACUCUUUUAUUGAGUUUUAAGAUAGCAGCAGAAACUGCAGGAGCACUAGCAUACUUACAUCAUUCAACUUUCCAUGCCCGGGAUGCGAAAACAAUGAGAAUAUACUGUUAGAUGAUAAGUAUAUUAAUGAAACACUUGAAUGUAUGGCUAAUCUUGCAAAAACAUGUUUAAAGUUUUACCGUGACAGAACGCGAAUUGCAGUGAAGCAUCCAUGGGGAGGUAAAACCAAUUGUCUUCCAGAGGAGACUGGAGCCACCUAAUUCAGAAGACGCCGCUAUUGGCCGGAGUCGGUAACCCAGCCGAUGCCGUAGAAACGGACGCCCUACUUUUAUGUGAUUCACGGCUUCCAUUUUGUGCAUUCAGAUAU